AGUUCGAUCCUGGCUCAGAUUGAACGCUGGCGGGAUGCUUUACACAUGCAAGUCGAACGGCAGCACGGACUUCGGUCUGGUGGCGAGUGGCGAACGGGUGAGUAAUGUAUCGGAACGUGCCUAGUAGCGGGGGAUAACUACGCGAAAGGGUAUUAAUACCGCAUACGCCCUUCGGGGGAAAGCGGGGACCUUCGGGCCCUCGCACUAUUAGAGCGGCCGAUAUCGGAUUAGCCAGUUGGUGGGGUAACGGCUCACCAAGGCGACGAUCCGUAGCUGGUUUGAGAGGGACAGACCAGCCACACUGGACUGAGACACGGCCCAGACUCCUACGGGAGGCAGCAGUGGGGAAUUUUGGACAAUGGGGGAAAACCUUGAUCCAGCCAUCUCGCGUGUGCGAUGAAGGCCUUCGGCCAGGUAAAGCACUUUUGGCAGGAAAGAAACGGCACGGGAUAAUACCCCGUGCAACUGACGGUACCUGCAGAAUAAGCACCGGCUAACUACGUGCCAGCAGCCGCGGUAAUACGUAGGGUGCAAGCGUUAAUCGGAAUUACUGGGCGUAAAGCGUGCGCAGGCGGUUCGGAAAGAAAGAUGUGAAAUCCCAGAGCUUAACUUUGGAACUGCAUUUUUAACUACCGAGUCAGGAGUGUGUCAGAGGGAGGUGGAAUUCCGCGUGUAGCAGUGAAAUGCGUAGAUAUGCGAGGAACACCGAUGGCGAAGGCAGCCUCCUGGGAUAACACUGACGCUCAUGCACGAAAAAGUGGGGAGCAAACAGGAUUAGAUACCCUGGUAGUCCACGCCCUCUAAACGAUGUCAACUAGCUGUUGGGGCCUUCGGGCCUUGGUAGCGCAGCUAACGCGUGAAGUUGACCGCCUGGGGAGCAUGGUCGCAAGAUUAAAACUCAAAGGAAUUGGACGGGGACCCGCACAAGCGGUGAUGAUGUGGAUUAAUCGAUGCAACGCGAAAACCUUACCUACCCUGACAUGUCUGGAAUCCCGAAGAGAUUUGGGAGUGCUCGCAAGAGAACCGGAACACAGGUGCUGCAUGGCUGUCGUCAGCUCGUGUCGUGAGAUGUUGGGUUAAGUCCCGCAACGAGCGCAACCCUUGUCAUUAGUUGCUACGAAAGGGCACUCUAAUGAGACUGCCGGUGACAAACCGGAGGAAGGUGGGGAUGACGUCAAGUCCUCAUGGCCCUUAUGGGUAGGGCUUCACACGUCAUACAAUGGUCGGGACAGAGGGUCGCCAACCCGCGAGGGGAGCCAAUCCCAGAAACCCGAUCGUAGUCCGGAUCGCAGUCUGCAACUCGACUGCGCAGUCGGAAUCGCUAGCAAUCGCGGAUCAGCAUGUCGCGGUGAAUACGUUCCCGGGUCUUGUACACACCGCCCGUCACACCAUGGGGAGUGGGUUUUACCAGAAGUAGUUAGCUCAACCGUAAGGAGGGCGAUUACCACGGUAGGAUUCAUGACUGGGGUGAAGUCGUAACAAGGUAG
RNAcentral lists this ribosomal RNA (1487 nucleotides) under uncultured Bordetella sp. RNAcentral describes it as "partial 16S-23S ribosomal RNA intergenic spacer". It matches the Rfam family "Bacterial small subunit ribosomal RNA". The record is from RNAcentral. Lineage: Bacteria; Pseudomonadati; Pseudomonadota; Betaproteobacteria; Burkholderiales; Alcaligenaceae.